GAAAAAGGAGAAAAGGGAAAAACCUGUCUGGGAAGCAUAAUUGAGAGACACGUUUAGAGCUUCAGUCUUAAGAUACACAAGAACUGCCAAAAAGUUCAAUAUCUGUAGCUGUCUAUAACUGUCUGUAUGGAAAUGAAAGAUGGAUAUCCCAAUAGUACCUGGAAUCUGAAAUCAAGAGAUUGCGAAAAAGAAGGCAAAACCCUAUUUGGAUUAUACUUGCUUUGGCUGUUUUGUGAAACCCAUGGAACCUCUGAGGAUCUGCACAAUCUGCCUGAGACAAGACAGCAUAGCAAGCAAUUGUAUGUAGAAAUAAUGACAUUCAUUUUCAAUAUCCAGAUAGUU
Molecule: long non-coding RNA, 342 nt
Organism: Cyanistes caeruleus (blue tit)
Lineage: Eukaryota; Metazoa; Chordata; Aves; Passeriformes; Paridae
Source: RefSeq, a predicted model, not a curated record